This 132-nucleotide non-coding RNA is filed under the name Chloropicon mariensis. The record is from RNAcentral. Lineage: Eukaryota; Viridiplantae; Chlorophyta; Chloropicophyceae; Chloropicales; Chloropicaceae.
AAAACGAGACCACAACAACAACGCAUGGGCAUGGGAGUGGAUGAGUGGGAGUGCAAGCUUUUCCGCGAGGUUCUGACUGAGCCAUCAAGGUGGAGGGGCACGCGAAGGUCGCUAUUCUUCAAGCACCACUGC